RNAcentral lists this ribosomal RNA (226 nucleotides) under uncultured bacterium. RNAcentral's name for it is "partial 16S ribosomal RNA". It matches the Rfam family "Bacterial small subunit ribosomal RNA", at positions 57 to 305 of the family's 1533-position model. The record is from RNAcentral.
GCAAGUCGAGCGGCAGCACUUCUGGUGGCAAGCGGCGAACGGGUGAGUAUUAGUAAGCAACUUGUCCUCUAAACGGAAGUAGAGACCGAAUGGGGUUUAAUGCCGAUAUGCGUAAGCUGGAAAGGUGCGUUUGCACCGCAAGAGGAUAAGUCUACCCCCUAUUAGCUUGUCGGCAGGGUAAUAGCCUACCAUGGCGAUGAUGGGUAGCCGGCCUGAGAGGGUGAUC